Molecule: ribosomal RNA, 420 nt
Filed under: uncultured bacterium
Lineage: Bacteria
Description: bacterial SSU rRNA
Rfam family: Bacterial small subunit ribosomal RNA
Source: RNAcentral
UAAGGAAUAUUGCUCAAUGGCCGAAAGGCUGAAGCAGCAACGCCGCGUGAGGGAUGAAGGGCUUUUGCUCGUAAACCUCUGUAAAAUGGGAAAAAUAUCUUGCUUUGCGAGAUUGAUUGUACCAUUAGAGUAAGCCCCGGCUAACUACGUGCCAGCAGCCGCGGUAAUACGUAGGGGGCAAGCGUUGUCCGGAUUUACUGGGUGUAAAGGGUGCUCAGGCGGAUUAGUAAGUCAGAGGUGAAACCCCGAAGCUUAACUUCGGAACUGCCUUUGAUACUGCUAGUCUAGAGUUUGGGAGAGGCGAGUGGAAUGUCUGGUGUAGCAGUGAAAUGCGUAGAUAUCAGACAGAACACCAAUGGCGAAGGCAGCUCGCUGGUCCAAUACUGACGCUAAAGCACGAAAGCGUGGGGAGCAAACAGG